UUGCAUAUCAAUAAGCGGAGGAAAAGAAACCAACAGGGAUUGCCUUAGUAGCGGCGAGUGAAGCGGCAAAAGCUCAAAUUUGAAAUCUGGCACUUUCAGUGUCCGAGUUGUAAUUUGAAGAAGGUAUCUUUGGGUCUGGCUCUUGUCUAUGUUUCUUGGAACAGAACGUCACAGAGGGUGAGAAUCCCGUGCGAUGAGAUGUCCCAGACCUAUGUAAAGUUCCUUCGAAGAGUCGAGUUGUUUGGGAAUGCAGCUCUAAGUGGGUGGUAAAUUCCAUCUAAAGCUAAAUAUUGGCGAGAGACCGAUAGCGAACAAGUACAGUGAUGGAAAGAUGAAAAGAACUUUGAAAAGAGAGUGAAAAAGUACGUGAAAUUGUUGAAAGGGAAGGGCUUGAGAUCAGACUUGGUAUUUUGUAUGUUACUCUCUCGGGGGUGGCCUCUACAGUUUACCGGGCCAGCAUCAGUUUGAGCGGUAGGAUAAGUGCAAAGAAAUGUGGCACUGCUUCGGUAGUGUGUUAUAGUCUUUGUCGAUACUGCCAGCUUAGACUGAGGACUGCGGCUUCGGCCUAGGAUGUUGGCAUAAUGAUCUUAAGUCGCCCGUCUUGAAACACGGACCA
Molecule: ribosomal RNA, 616 nt
Filed under: Lodderomyces parapsilosis
Lineage: Eukaryota; Fungi; Ascomycota; Pichiomycetes; Serinales; Debaryomycetaceae
Description: LSU rRNA
Rfam family: Eukaryotic large subunit ribosomal RNA
Source: RNAcentral